This 77-nucleotide small nucleolar RNA is filed under the name Homo sapiens (human). Its description in RNAcentral is "Small nucleolar RNA U3". It matches the Rfam family "Small nucleolar RNA U3", at positions 1 to 75 of the family's 219-position model. From Rfam's summary of the family: Small nucleolar RNAs (snoRNAs) are involved in the processing and modification of rRNA in the nucleolus. There are two main classes of snoRNAs: the box C/D class, and the box H/ACA class. U3 snoRNA is a member of the box C/D class. Lineage: Eukaryota; Metazoa; Chordata; Mammalia; Primates; Hominidae. The record is from Rfam by way of RNAcentral.
AAGACUACACUUUCAGGAAUCAUUUCUAUAGUUUGUUACUAGAGAAGUUUCUCUGAAUACGUAGAGCAAAAUAUAUA